This 214-nucleotide long non-coding RNA is filed under the name Elaeis guineensis (African oil palm). Its description in RNAcentral is "long non-coding RNA (EGUI_LNC077479)". The record is from RNAcentral. Lineage: Eukaryota; Viridiplantae; Streptophyta; Magnoliopsida; Arecales; Arecaceae.
GAGUUUUGAUAGAAUCCGUAGAUGAUCUCACACCCACAAAGCUGAUCAUUUUCAGUGUCCUCCUAUUUGAGAAACAGAUCUAAAUUGUUGGCAUAGUUACCCUUUCCGGUUUGAGCAUUAGCCAACAGCAUGACCGCAUCUAAAUAACCCUCCACCAAAAUAAAAGGACUGGCUGCUCAACAGUCCAGCAGCCCACAGGCUGAGGGGCAACAGA